AUUCCAUUCCUGCUCAAUGUUUUGUCACUUGGCUCGAUGUUUCAAAGUNUCAUCCUCGAGCCAAGGGACAAAACAUUGAGCAGGAAUGGAAUCGAUCCAGAUC
RNAcentral lists this microRNA precursor (103 nucleotides) under Selaginella moellendorffii. RNAcentral's name for it is "miR1114 stem-loop (smo-MIR1114)". Lineage: Eukaryota; Viridiplantae; Streptophyta; Lycopodiopsida; Selaginellales; Selaginellaceae. The record is from miRBase by way of RNAcentral.